CAGUAGCCGCGGUAAUACGAGGGGUGCAGGCGUUAUUCGGAUUGAUUGGGUGUAAAGGGUGUGCAGACGGCUUAUUAAGUCACUUGUUAAAUUCCUCGGCCUAACUGAAGGUCUGCAAGUGAUACUGAUGAGCUAGAGGGUGGAAGAGAGAAGUGGAAUUCUCGGAGUAGCGGUAAAAUGCGUAGAUCUCGAGAGGAACACCAAUGGCGAAGGCAGCUUCUUGGUCCAUUCCUGACGUUCAUACACGAAAGCGUGGGGAGCAAACAGGAUUAGAUACCCGGGUAGUCCCUGUCUCUUAUAC
This 301-nucleotide ribosomal RNA is filed under the name uncultured bacterium. RNAcentral describes it as "partial 16S ribosomal RNA". It matches the Rfam family "Bacterial small subunit ribosomal RNA", at positions 509 to 807 of the family's 1533-position model. The record is from RNAcentral.